This 375-nucleotide long non-coding RNA is filed under the name Setaria viridis. RNAcentral's name for it is "long non-coding RNA (SVIR_LNC008700)". Lineage: Eukaryota; Viridiplantae; Streptophyta; Magnoliopsida; Poales; Poaceae. The record is from RNAcentral.
GUGUCUUACAAUAAGAAAGGAUCAUAUUCACUUACAAGCAGUUGUAGGAGAGAAGUAUGUGCUUCUUGUCUGUAGCUUCUAAUGUCCUCUCAUUGACAGCGAUAGGGUCCAAGAAGCCUAUGUGCUUAAUCCCAUUUUCUCGGCACGUAUAAGGCUCCAUCCUACAAAAGAAUGAAGUUAUAUGUAUAAGCCACUUAGCAAAGAACUCGUAUUACAUGUUAGCGACGAUACUUACAAAGUCCACAAGGCCAUGAUUGAGACGUCAAGGGCUUGUUGUUGGAAGAACUGAAAUAGUUCUUCGUAAGGAAUUAAUCCAUAUUUCACCCCUAUCACCCUUCUUGUAUAUAUCAUGCACCAAACAUGCUUGCUCUCUGU